This 735-nucleotide ribosomal RNA is filed under the name uncultured Synechococcus sp. RNAcentral's name for it is "bacterial SSU rRNA". It matches the Rfam family "Bacterial small subunit ribosomal RNA", at positions 781 to 1515 of the family's 1533-position model. Lineage: Bacteria; Bacillati; Cyanobacteriota; Cyanophyceae; Synechococcales; Synechococcaceae. The record is from RNAcentral.
GAUACCCCUGUAGUCCUGGCCGUAAACGAUGAACACUAGGUGUCGGGGGAAUCGACCCCCUCGGUGUCGUAGCCAACGCGUUAAGUGUUCCGCCUGGGGAGUACGCACGCAAGUGUGAAACUCAAAGGAAUUGACGGGGGCCCGCACAAGCGGUGGAGUAUGUGGUUUAAUUCGAUGCAACGCGAAGAACCUUACCAGGGUUUGACAUCCUGCGAAUCCCUUGGAAACUUGGGAGUGCCUUCGGGAGCGCAGUGACAGGUGGUGCAUGGCUGUCGUCAGCUCGUGUCGUGAGAUGUUGGGUUAAGUCCCGCAACGAGCGCAACCCACGUCUUUAGUUGCCAGCAUUUAGUUGGGCACUCUAGAGAGACUGCCGGUGAUAAACCGGAGGAAGGUGUGGAUGACGUCAAGUCAUCAUGCCCCUUACAUCCUGGGCUACACACGUACUACAAUGCUACGGACAAAGGGCAGCAAACUCGCGAGAGCUAGCAAAUCCCAUAAACCGUGGCUCAGUUCAGAUCGUAGGCUGCAACUCGCCUACGUGAAGGAGGAAUCGCUAGUAAUCGCAGGUCAGCAUACUGCGGUGAAUACGUUCCCGGGCCUUGUACACACCGCCCGUCACACCAUGGAAGUUGGCCAUGCCCGAAGUCGUUACUCCAACCCUUGUGGAGGAGGAUGCCGAAGGUGGGGCUGAUGACUGGGGUGAAGUCGUAACAAGGUAGCCGUACCGGAAGGUGC